RNAcentral lists this ribosomal RNA (806 nucleotides) under uncultured bacterium. Its description in RNAcentral is "bacterial SSU rRNA". It matches the Rfam family "Bacterial small subunit ribosomal RNA", at positions 56 to 859 of the family's 1533-position model. The record is from RNAcentral.
UGCAAGUCGAACGGCAGCGCGGGGCAACCUGGCGGCGAGUGGCGAACGGGUGAGUAAUAUAUCGGAACGUACCCUGGAGUGGGGGAUAACGUAGCGAAAGUUACGCUAAUACCGCAUACGAUCUAAGGAUGAAAGUGGGGGAUCGCAAGACCUCAUGCUCCUGGAGCGGCCGAUAUCUGAUUAGCUAGUUGGUAGGGUAAAAGCCUACCAAGGCAUCGAUCAGUAGCUGGUCUGAGAGGACGACCAGCCACACUGGAACUGAGACACGGUCCAGACUCCUACGGGAGGCAGCAGUGGGGAAUUUUGGACAAUGGGCGCAAGCCUGAUCCAGCAAUGCCGCGUGAGUGAAGAAGGCCUUCGGGUUGUAAAGCUCUUUUGUCAGGGAAGAAAAGGGUGCGGCUAAUAUCUGCGCCUCAUGACGGUACCUGAAGAAUAAGCACCGGCUAACUACGUGCCAGCAGCCGCGGUAAUACGUAGGGUGCAAGCGUUAAUCGGAAUUACUGGGCGUAAAGCGUGCGCAGGCGGUUUUGUAAGACUGUCGUGAAAUCCCCGGGCUCAACCUGGGAAUGGCGAUGGUGACUGCAAGGCUAGAGUUUGGCAGAGGGGGGGUAGAAUUCCACGUGUAGCAGUGAAAUGCGUAGAUAUGUGGAGGAACACCGAUGGCGAAGGCAGCCCCCUGGGUCAAAACUGACGCUCAUGCACGAAAGCGUGGGGAGCAAACAGGAUUAGAUACCCUGGUAGUCCACGCCCUAAACGAUGUCUACUAGUUGUCGGGUCUUAAUUAACUUGGUAACGCAGCUAACGCG